RNAcentral lists this long non-coding RNA (411 nucleotides) under Mytilus galloprovincialis (Mediterranean mussel). The record is from RNAcentral. Lineage: Eukaryota; Metazoa; Mollusca; Bivalvia; Mytilida; Mytilidae.
GUGCGCUAAAUUUUUAGAUAUAAUGGUAUAAAUACACCUUACCGCUAUUUGUCUGCCAUUACUGGAUAUCGCACAGGUUCCCGUAAAAAUUUGACAUCAUAAAACAAAAUAUCUGACGCCACAAUGGAAAAGUGAUUGUUGUAUGCUUCAAAAGUUCAAGAGGCCGGGUCAGCCAGGAUUAGCAAUAUAGGUGUAUUGUGUUCCAAAGUUGGUGUCAUUUUUAUCAUACGAUCCGUCCUGACAUAGAAAUAUUAUUGGUUUACAAUGAGGCCAUAUAUAUUUACAUGAUAAGUGUAAAUAAGUUCAGUUUUGGUUGAUAUGGUCAAAUAAUUUUGUUAAAACGACUCAGUCUGAUACAUGUAUAUCGAAACUACUGAAAUUUGUUUACAAUUCAAUAUUUUGAAUAAAAAG